AUGGCCUGGCCUCUUGUCUGUCUCUCACUGCUCUCCUUCUGCUCAGGCUCCCUCUCCCAGCCUGUGCUGACUCAGCCUCCCUCUGCCUCUGCAGCCCUGGGGAGCUCGGCCAGACUCUCCUGCACCCUGAGCAGUCAGCACAGUGGUUAUACUGUUGAUUGGUACCAGCAGAGCCCUGGAAAGGCCCCUCGGUACCUCAUGUGGGUCGAUAGUGAUGGAGAUACAGGCAGGGCCGACGGGAUCCCUGAGCGCUUCUCUGGCUCCAGCUCUGGGGCUGAUCGAUUCCUGUCCAUCAGCAACGUCCAGGCUGAGGAUGAAGCCGAUUAUUUCUGUGGUCAUGGUUUUAGCAGUGGUAGUAGUUAUCGUUACCCACAGUGA
Molecule: non-coding RNA, 378 nt
Organism: Monodelphis domestica (gray short-tailed opossum)
Lineage: Eukaryota; Metazoa; Chordata; Mammalia; Didelphimorphia; Didelphidae
Source: the annotation of a RefSeq genome assembly